Molecule: long non-coding RNA, 1399 nt
Organism: Lathyrus oleraceus (garden pea)
Lineage: Eukaryota; Viridiplantae; Streptophyta; Magnoliopsida; Fabales; Fabaceae
Exons: 2
Source: RefSeq, a predicted model, not a curated record
GAGUCAUCAAUGGAAUAGCGUGUGAAUCAGUCAAUGUCUAACAUGUGAAUUAAAUACACUUUGAAUCAGCCAAUGCAAUUAAAGGCAAAACGCACGUGUAUAUAUUGACUUAGAAUGAAGAAAAAAAACUUCAGAACAUGGAUUCAAAACGCAUCUCCCUCCUAACUUUAGUCUUGGUUCACUGUUACUCCCUCCGCCGUGUCGGAGGCGGUCCUCGGAGGCGUAGGUUUUCAAAAAAACAAUUAAACACCACCAAUCCACUCAGUUUCAUGCACUGAACACGAAAAAUCCAUUAGAUUCUCCUAAUUUCGGAAGAAUCAAGUGAAUGGCAACGAAGAGGAAUCGAGCCACCUCACAUUGGGGCUUUGAUUCCCCUCGCGAAGAGCUACAUAUCGGAAACCGAAUCAAGGUGAGAAGAUAAAGAGGAACCUACUUGCGAGACGACGAUGUGUCUCAGAGUUUGUUGCAUUCGAAUCCGACAAAGAUGGUGAUGAUGAAUCUGCACUCAGGUGUUGAAGAAGAGUUGAAGGUGAUGAAAAUUUGUUCUGAGUUUUAUGAGAUUGUGAGAAGUGAGAUCUAUUUGCAGUGAUUGUGAUGAAAUGUGAAUUCUGAGAUUGUGAAAAGUGAAGGAUGAGAGAGUUCGAAAGUGUUGAAUCGUGAAUCUGAAAAAAUGAGUUGGAACUGAUGAAUGUGAAUGCGCUCUAUUUAUAUAGGUGAUGAUCAUUCAAUUAUGCUCUCUCAAAUUCUGUUAGAAGUUUCUCAAAUUCUAUUAGGGUUUCUGUUAGUCUGUUAUUCCCUUCCAAAAUUAUGUUGAACUUUGCUUCCUAAUCUGUUUCGAUUUGUUAUGAGGUCUGUUAUAGUUUGUUAUUUUUGUUAUGAUUUGUGAAGUUCUGUUAUGAACUGUGUUUAAUCUUAUUGCCAUUUUCUGUUAUGUGUUGUGUAAAGUUAGGAAGUUUGUUAGGAUAGUGAAAACGGUUAUAGAGUUAAUUAGGAGGUUUUGCUAAGUUAGUUGGAAGUUAGGGUGUGGACUAAAUGUGCAGGUUGCUUGUGGUUUCAAUUUUGCAGGCAUGCGUUGGCUUGGCUUGGAAUUGCAAAUGGAUUUGAAUUGGCCAUGGAGUACUUGGAUUAUUUUGAAGUUGUUUUGUUUUGGACCUUGCUAUAAUGGCUCAUGGAAUGCUUAUUGAUUUUUAUGCUUGAUGGAGUGCAAAUGGAGUUAUCAUGGACCUUUGAUUUGAUUGUUACAUGGCUUGCUUGGACUAAAAUGGUAUUCAUGGUUCUGUAAAAGGCAUUAAUGUGUUUGAAUGUGGAAUUAUGUAAUAUGAAUCGUGUAUUAUGACUAUGUGGAAAUGAAAUUGAUGUAUGAUGAAAAAUGGAUCAAUGGAAGUGAAUGGUUAAAUGA